CUCGAGAAUUGGCACGACAUAUACUAAAAUUGGAAUGACAUAGAGAAGGCAAACACAGUCCCUGUACAAGGAUGACAUGCAAAUUUGUGAAGCAUCCUAUAUUAAA
Molecule: small nuclear RNA, 106 nt
Filed under: Salvator merianae (Argentine black and white tegu)
Lineage: Eukaryota; Metazoa; Chordata; Lepidosauria; Squamata; Teiidae
Source: RNAcentral